GAUGAACGCUGGCGGCGUGCCUAAUACAUGCAAGUCGAGCGAACGGACGAGAAGCUUGCUUCUCUGAUGUUAGCGGCGGACGGGUGAGUCACACGUGGAUAACCUACCUAUAAGACUGGGAUAACUUCGGGAAACCGGAGCUAAUACCGGAUAAUAUUUUGAACCGCAUGGUUCAAAAGUGAAAGACGGUCUUGCUGUCACUUCUAGCUGGAUCCGCGCUGCAUUAGCUAGUUGGUAAGGUAACGGCUUACCAAGGCAACGAUGCAUAGCCGACCUGAGAGGGUGAUCGGCCACACUGGAACUGAGACACGGUCCAGACUCCUACGGGAGGCAGCAGUAGGGAAUCUUCCGCAAUGGGCGAAAGCCUGACGGAGCAACGCCGCGUGAGUGAUGAAGGUCUUCGGAUCGUAAAACUCUGUUAUUAGGGAAGAACAUAUGUGUAAGUAACUGUGCACAUCUUGACGGUACCUAAUCAGAAAGCCACGGCUAACUACGUG
This 497-nucleotide ribosomal RNA is filed under the name uncultured bacterium. Its description in RNAcentral is "partial 16S ribosomal RNA". It matches the Rfam family "Bacterial small subunit ribosomal RNA", at positions 28 to 507 of the family's 1533-position model. The record is from RNAcentral.